UAGAUACCCUAUUAUUUGAAAUGUAAUUUAUUUACUAAAGUAGUAGUAGUUAUGUUCUUGAAACUUAAAAAAUUUGGCGGUAUUUUAGUCUAUUCAGAGGAACCUGUCCUAUAAUCGAUAAUCCACGUUGGACCUCACUUAAAUUUGUUUUCAGUAUGUAUACCGUCGUUAUAAGAAUAUUUUAUAAGAAUAAUAAUUUUCUAGAUUUUUUAUAAAAAUUUAUAUCAGAUCAAGGUGCAGCUUAUAUUUAAGUAGAGAUGGGUUACAAUAAUUAUAUUUAUACGGAUUAAUUUUUGAAAUAGAAUUAUGAAGGUGGAUUUGAAUGUAAAAUUAUAAAGAUUAAUAAUUUGAUUUUAGCU
Molecule: ribosomal RNA, 359 nt
Filed under: Themira superba
Lineage: Eukaryota; Metazoa; Arthropoda; Insecta; Diptera; Sepsidae
Description: partial 12S ribosomal RNA
Source: RNAcentral